GAUAAUAGGAAAUUACAGUACGACCUUAUAGUUGAUAAUGGGAAAUUAGUCCACUGAGCUCUAGCCAUUCCCUAACAAUUAACAUAGUGAAACGUUAGUUUCUAAUGACUUUUGCUUCUCCAAGUAACAGACAAGCUUCAAUUCCAUACUGUUCCAUUCCAUCCUACCGGUCGAAUACACAUUAAGAAUUCUGCUUCCAAUUCCAUAUUUGAUGGGAUAAAUAAACACAUUGACCAGUAAUUAUUAGGUCCACGCUCCACUGUAGACUUCUGUUUUGAUGCUCAAAAUUAUGUUUUGAAGCCUUUGUUUUGUCCCGAUCACACCCCAAUUAUUAUGUUCUUUCUUCCCUGGAUUGUGUUACAACACUUUCCAACACUUCUCUUGCCACCAACUCACUCGGAGAUGGCAGGGGGUUCAAAUUCAAAGAAGCCUAUCAAUAGAGGCACCGAUUCCACAAACACACAGGAAAGGAAUAAACAGACGCAAGUGCAAGAACAUGCUACACUCCAGGACGGACAUUUCCACGAUGUAAUCCCAUACUUUGUCGAUGAUUGCUCUCUGCCCAAGUCUAGGUCAAAGGUCUCAGAGGUGAGUUUAUGCUUCGGUAGAGCUGGUACUAAUCGAUUUGAGAAGAAAGUAUAUAUUUUGGAAACUCUUGGGAGUAGCAUGACAAAUUUAAAUACUAGUGGUGGAUUUGUUUCUGGAGCUGCGAUAAAGGGGAAUCAAAUUUCUAUCUUAGCAUUUGAGGUUGCGAACACAAUUGUCAAAGGUUUUAAUCUACAGCAAUCUCUUUCCUCAGAAAGUAUUAGGCAUUUAAAAGAAGAGGUGCUUCUUUCAGAGGCUGUACAAGAGUUAGUAUCAGAGGAUAUGGAUGAACUUCUUAGGAUUGUUGCAGCAGACAAGAGGCAGGAAUUGAAAGUUUUUUCUGAUGAGGUGGUUCGGUUUGGAAAUCGUUCAAAGAAUCCUCAAUGGCACAACUUAGACCGUUAUUUUGAGAAGAUUAGCAGAGAAUUAAAUGCUCCAAGACUGUCAAGAGAUGAGGCAGAAUCAAUCAUGCAACAAUUGAUGACUUUGGUUCAGUUUUCAGUUGAAAUGUACCAUGAAUUGAAUGCUUUGGAUACAUUUGAACAAGAUUUUCAGCGCAAGUCUGAGGAGGAUCAAAGAGGUGAUAACCUUGCGUUGUUAAGGGUGGAAAUUAAAAGUCAAAGGAAGUACAUUAGACAUUUAAAGAAAAAAUCACUCUGGUAUAGAAGUUUAGAUGAGGUUGUGGAGAAGCUUGUAGACUUUGUCCAUUUUUUGCAUUUGGAGAUAAACAAUGCCUUUGGUAGAGCAGACUGCCACAAACCAUUAGCUGGAAACUUGAGCAAUUGCCAGAGAUUGGGCCCUGCAGGCCUUGCUUUGCAUUAUGCAAAUAUAGUGCUUCAAAUUGAUACUCUUGUAGCCGGGACUACAAUUGCAAAUACAAAGGAUGCAUUAUAUCAAAGUCUGCCUCCUAAGAUAAAAUUAGCUCUGCGUUCCAAAUUACCAUCCCUCCGUGUUGUAGAAGAGAAUCUUGCAGUUAACUGUACCAGUUAUCAAAUAUUGGAUGGAGAAAUUAUUACAUAUUUUGGUUCCCAUGGCCACUAAUACAUCCAAGUAAAAUAUCUGGCCAUUGUCAACUAGCUCCUUACUACCUAUGUGAAAAGCUUUCUUCAACCAUCAGUAUAUUUACCUUCUAUAUAACUAACUCUAUUCGUUGUUGGCUUUUCUUUUGGUGGUUUUACAAUUCAGAGCACAUCAUAGAUUUGGUUGGGUAGGGGAGUGGGCAAACACAGGCUAUGAGGUAAACAGGAAGAGUGAUAUAAUGCGGAUUGAGACAUUCCAGCAUGCAGACAAAGAAAAAGUGGAAUAUUAUAUUCUUGAACUUCUCCUAUGGCUUCAUCGCUUGGCCAUCAGAAGUAAGGCUGACAGUGAUGCUGGCUAAGUAAGGUGUGCCAUCAGGUCCCCUUUUUGAGCUACUUUUUGUAGAAGACAAUGAAGCACUCUACAAAUGCAGUAUUACCAUUUGAGAUGAUAGAAUUGAAUUUGUUCUCCUUAUUCAAGUGGCUAGUACAUCUAAAAUUUCUAAUUUUAUACAGGGAGAUUAAAAAGGAAAAAGAAUCAAUCCUAAUAAAGGAAAUGAUUGCUUAAUUAGUUCCCUAACUAAAUCUUUUGAUUUCAGGGAUCAGGGGUUGUCGGUAAAUUUUCCUAAUAAUUGUAUUUGUAGCAAAUAUUCUUCUAAUAAUUAUAUUUGCAAAAUAUA
Molecule: RNA transcript, 2281 nt
Organism: Cajanus cajan (pigeon pea)
Lineage: Eukaryota; Viridiplantae; Streptophyta; Magnoliopsida; Fabales; Fabaceae
Gene name: protein PSK SIMULATOR 1
Source: RefSeq, a predicted model, not a curated record